AGCUGGUGCUGCUUAAAUUUUGGUUAUGGUUUCAGCCAGUAUUUUCCUGUUCACUCCUUUUCUUAUGAAGACAACGAGCUGUUGCAGCUAUUUUGGAACUUUGAUUUUGCUGGUAAUAGUUUAAUUAUAGUACCUUUGACCUUUUUUCAUGGUAACAACAGUUUGCUUAAUUAGCUUGAGUUUAAGUUCAAAAUUUUCUAGUCAAUUUAUGUAAGCGGGUUGGUUUGGUUGUUUGAUCUAGAAUUUAUAGAAGUACAAAUGGAUUAUAGAGUGAUUUAAACUCACACUGCUUCUUUUAAAACCAAAUUCGUUGAAUUUCUCACUUUAUAAUUUUUGUUAUGUCUCUGAAAGUUCGAAGUUUCCAAUUCUUCUUUAUCUACACUCAAAUUCACUUCUUUGAUUUGUUGGAAAUUUGAUUGAAUUAUGGUAGUUUUAGUGUGUUUCUUUAAAUUCAGAAAAAUAUUUAUAGGUUUCAAAUAUACAGACGUUAGACUACAAAUAGUCAUUGCUAAAAUUUUAGGGAAUUGCUUUAUGCUUCUUAGUUUUAAUGUAAUUUAAUUAAUUAUUUUUAUCAGGUAGUUGCUUAAUAAAUCGUGUUCAUUUUUGCUGUAAAAAAAUCCUCUUUUUCUUUAUGAAAAAUAUAACCUCUAAUUCACACCAUCAUGGAAAUGAGCUUUUCUUUUUCUUGUGAAUAAAUAUGAAUGUGAGAUUGAAAAGCUUCGGAUGUAUUAAAAAAGUUUUCAAUGUAGUAUUUGUAUUUGUAAAAUGCAAGAUUUAAUUGAUUAUUUUGGCAAGCAUGUAUAUAUUUUUCUUUUAUCAUCUGUUAAAUUUUUCUUAAAAGAAUUGCAUUGCACGUGUUUAAUAAUUUUAAAUAAUGAGUGAAAUUGUAAUUUCCAUAAUUGUUUGCUAUUGUGUUCGCAAAAUUAAUAAUAACUCUAAUAAAUUAUUUUCAAUUUAUUAAAAAUAGAGUGAAAGUUUGACAAACGUUUUUAAUUAAUUUUGUUGUGUUUAAUACUUAAAACUAUUUAUGAAAAAAGAGUUAAAAAAAUAGAUCAAAGUUUACCAUCUUAAAAUAUUAUCCAAGUUAUACAAUCCACAAAAAGGAGAGAACAAUAACGUUGAAGAACCUUUCGAUUUAUGAAGGUUGCGAAAACUUGUGGGGUUUUAAACAUUUUAAAUUCUAUUAUUAGUUUUAACUAAAUACAAAAUCAUAAAUGUUAAUCUUAACUUAUUUGUCACAAAAUAAAAGAGUAACUUGUAGUUAUUGCCUUUGUUGUAUUUUUAAAUUUUUUUAUUUAAAUUUAGAACAUUACAAAAAUAAACAAUUUAUUAUUUAGAGAAAUCAGAUUGUAUAGUUAAAUAAAAUUGAUAUAUUUUAAUUAAUACAAAACACAAAGAAGUAUGAUAUUUUUCCUAAUUAGUGAAAAAUGUAAAGGAUAAAAUUGUCGAUUUUUUUUUUCAAAUAAACUAGCUCUCUAAUAAUUUGAAUGGAAUAUUACUUAAUGUAACUAUUAUUUUAAUAAUGUUUCAAAUUUUAGUUUCUUCAAUACUUCAAUGACUUUAUUGUAUAAAAUAUCCAUGAAGUUCGAAUUUUAUAGUUUUUAAUUUAAUUUAUUUUUGUAAAAAGAUUAUUUCAAUUUAAUUCUCUAGUUUUAAAUACUUUUCAAUAAGGUUAAAGUAGUCAAUAUUAAAUUUACGUGACAUAAUAUUUAAUAUAUGAAUGAUAGAAUAUUACUUUUUUUUUUUAUCAAUAUUGGAAAAACAAUAAUAGAGAAAAAAUUAAAAAUUCUACAAAUAUUUUAAAUUUUUUUAUAAAAUAAGGACGUAAAUAUCAAGUAGUAUAUAUCUUUUUUCGUGAGAAUUGUAUUUUUUAAUCAUCCAUGCAUAGUCCUUUUAUAUUUAAAGAGCUUUAUUAUAACAUAAAGAGCUUUAUUCUAAAAUGUUAUGUAUGACUACUAAAAGAAAAAAAAAAAGUUGUGUAAAAAUGGCUAAUGUGAGAACAAAACACUGAAAUCCAAAUAGAAAAAAGAAUAAAGCGUUUAGAUGUUGGUAAAGAUUGAUAAUAAAGAAUAAUUAUUUUACAGUGGUAGAUAUGUUAGAGUUAUAAUACCUUUUCGAUUAUAUAACUUCUAAAAUCUGACUUUUAAUUAAAUUAAUGAAAUGAAAUCUUUAAAAUAAUAGGAUGGUGAGGUGUAUGGUGUAAUACAUUUUAAAUGUAACCGUGCUUGAAUUUUUAUGAGUAUUUUAGUCUAAGAAUGAGUAUUGUAGUUUAAAAUUGUUUUUGCAAAACCAUGAAAUUAAAUGGAUAUAUGAGAUUUUAUUUUAAUAUAAAAACCACUCGAAAAACCUCCUUUAAUUGAAAAAUUGUAAAAAAAUAUUUAAUGAUUUUUAGUGAUUUUUUUUCUAUUAAGUGUAAAUAUCUUAUUAUUAUUUUUAUUUUUAAAACCCCUCUAUUUAAUUAGAAACUUUUUAUUAAUUCAUAUUUUAGGGUGGUUUAAGAAAUUACGGUGAAUUAAUAACAAAAUCUUUUAUAAGUUAUUAACAUUAUUUGAAAUGUUUUUUUUUUAAAAAAAUAUAUUUGAACGCUUUUUUAAUCAUUUGCUUAAAAUUGUUUAGUUAUUUAAAGUGGUUGAAUUAAUGGCAUAAACUUGACAUUCUAAAAAGAUGAAGGUGUGUUUAUAAAUGUUUUUUUUCCCUUCAGAUUCCUACUUUUUAUAUAUUAUAGAUUUGUAUUUAUACUCUUUUUUUAGUCAGGUUAAAUUAUUAUAUUGAGGCUAAAUAGUUAGUUUCCUAAACAUUAUCAAACUGUGAUUAUAACUAAAUCAAUUAGUGACUCAAAAACACUCCCGAUGUUAGUUUUUAGGUGUACAUAGGUGUUUGCUUCUAGGUGUAAGUAGGUAUGUGGGGUUUAUGAGUUUUAUGUAACUUUUAGAGGUUCUUUUUUUCUUUUUUUAAUGAAUGAUACAAUAUUUUGAUUCCAAUCAAAAAUGGUUUCGAGUUUCAAAUUUAACGAGAAAUGAUAGGUGCAUGUGAUUUUAUUCAAAUAUCCUCAUUUUAGUACGCUUCAAACACUCUUCUUGCGUCCAUGUCUUGAUCCAAAUCCCACUCUCCACUAAAGUUCCAUGCUCAAUCCCGCUUGACGAUCCACAUUUCUAAUUGCGUUUCUUGCUCAACGAUUCCACUUUUCGACACGUAGGCUCGUUAAAUCAGUUGACUUUUUGUAUUUUCUGUUUUAUGUUUUCCAAGUAGAGUUCUCAACAAGAAGUGUUUUCAUUAAUAUCACAAUAAGUGUUUAUCAAUUUCUAUUAUUGAUAAAAUAUAACACUUUGUUACCUUUUAUAAAUAUUUUGGUUUUUUUUGUUAUAUUUGAAAAUGUCCCUUUAAUAAAUUUAUUUUAAGAUUUUAAGAUUUGAAGUUUGUUUUAAGUAAACAUAGGAAACAAUUCGCUCCAAUUUUUUUUGUUCUUUCCUUUGUGAUUUUUUCUUUAAUCCUAACAAACAAAUUUACCUCGGGAUGAAUUCAAAUUUCACUUAUGAGUAACUAAUGAAGGUAAAAAUAAAAGUGUUAAAAGCUUGGAAGGAUUGUUCUACAAAAGAAAAAACUUCAAAAUAAAAUUGAAAAACUAAACCCAUUCUUCAAUACUUAGUUUUACAAUUUAAUUUUUUUUAAAACAAUAAUAUGGAAGAUUUGUGAAGUUUAAGACCAAUAACAACACCACCAAUAAUAAACCAUCAAAGCUAAGUUGAAUAAUGUAAGGCAUUGAAUUGAAACUUUCACAUAAAUAUGUAAAAAACUAAUUAAUUAAACUCAAAUAAUGAGUGGAAAUAGGUAAUUGUAACUUGUGAGUAAUGAUUCUAUUUGGAGGUAUUUGCCUCGAAGUCAACCAUUGUGAGAGUACUCAUUGAGAGUUUAAUCUUUUUGCAAAAGAGAAAAGAUAAUCUAAAGAAUUAUGAAAAAAGAAAAGCAUUUUAUAUUCCUCAUUUGAUAGAGCCAUGAAUUAAAUACAAGUUUUAGUUGCAAUAAUUAGAAUCUGGAUGACUCACUCUUUCUCUUAAAAUAUUCUCUUUCUUUAUGUGUUAGCUUAGCCUAUAUAUAUCAUUCAUAUAUAUCCAAAAAUGGUGAACUCAAUUUAUAUGUUUUAGGAUUUGUUGGUUGCCUAAAAAAUUUUCUUUUUUCAUCUAAAUAUGUCAACUUUUAGACUUUUAUUUUUACUUUUUAAAAAAUAUAUAGGAUUAUUGUGCAGACUUUCAAUACGCAAUUACGAAAACAAAUUAGGAUUCUACCCAAUUUCAAUGUUUAAAACUAUAUCCACACCUAUUCAACUUUUUGUUUCUUGGAGAGCUAAUUGAUCAAUUUUUUAAAAUUAUUUUAAAUAUUGAUAUAAAAUUAGUGAUAAUUAAUUUAGUUCUUUUAAAUAAAUUAAUAGACAGUAGCAUUAUACUCAAAUUUAUAUAGGUUGGGAUGUUAAAAGAACUAAAUUGUGAUUAAAUUCAAAUUUUAAAAAUAAAAUAGCAACAUUCUUUUAUUUAUAUAAAGUUUGCCAAUUCUUUUAUUUUAAAAUACUCAUAUAUUUUAUUUUUGUGGGUUUCCAUUCACUGGUUUUAGAAAAACACAACUUUUUUUAGUCAUCACGUUGAUUAAUUCUACAUAUCAAUUUAAAACAAAAGUCAUAUACCAAUUCCAAUACAUUUCUAACAAUUUUGUUAAGAAAAAAAAUUGCCUUUAAAAAACCCAUGAGCUAUUUUACAAUUAGUAUUUAAAAAUUGAUUUUAAAAACUAAAGAAAUGAAAUAUGCCUAAGAAAAAUAUAUGACAAAAAAAAAAAAAAAGAUAAGGAGUAAUGAAAGGCAAAACAACUGCCGACAAAUUGAGGAUAGAUUUGAAGCCGUUGUAGAAUUUAAUUAUCAAUUUGGCUUUGCUUUCUAUACAUUAUGCAAUCCACCUACUCCCUUUUACAUUUAUUUUAUUUUAUUUGUUGAAUUAUCAAUGUAUCAAUUUUAUAGAAAUGUCGACAAAAAAUAUUGAUACAACGUCGAGUGAUGUUGUAUAGCUUUUCCUUUUUACGUAAUUAAUGAUUAAUUUUUUCAAUAAUAUAUAAUUCAUACUUUCAUUCAUUCUUCAUGAUUAUCAUAACAAACAUUUUUCCUAUCUCAAUUUAAUUACAAGUUUAUAUUUAGUUCACUUUUUAAAUUUUGUAUGUGUCUAAUUAAAUUAUUAUUUUUUUUGUUUGAUAAAGGUUUGAAUGGUAAAAAUUGUAUAUUAGGAUUUUCUAGGGAGAAGAAAUAGGUUUAAUGAAUUUCGAAGUUCUAUUACUAUUUGAUGGAGUUGAUUUACUUUGGAUGGCUACAAUAAAAAUAGAUUCUUGCAACUCUAAAAUAUUAACAUAAACAAAUUUAUUGCCUUUGUUUUUGUAGUACUUAGAAUCCACAGAAAAGUGCAUUAGAUGACAUAUCUAAAAUCUGUCGAUAUUAGUUUUGUAUGCAUGUCUUUUUAAUAUGGUCAACAACAAACAUUAAUUGACGUUUGUUAUAAUCUAUUACGAUAACAUUUUUUGACAUUGAAAAGUUGUCUCAAAAUUACAUAUACUGACAUUAAUUUAGUCAUUCAAGAUUGAAGUUUGAUUGAUGACAUUAUAGAUUUUAAUGUCAAAUAGAUAUAUUUAAUCAUAACAUAUGUGAAAUGUCAAACGAUGUUGAAAAUGGUAUGAGUUGAUGUUUGUGCUUCUUGAGUUCUUCGUUGAAUUAGUUCUACUUGAAACUCAUUAGGACAAUAGUCUGUUUUUUUUUUCGAGAAAAAUACAUUGUCUAUGCUAAUAGUAAAAGCUUGACCUAUUUUAUUGGAUUCUACUUAGAAAAAAAA
This 5858-nucleotide long non-coding RNA is filed under the name Cucumis sativus (cucumber). RNAcentral describes it as "long non-coding RNA (CSAT_LNC000540)". Lineage: Eukaryota; Viridiplantae; Streptophyta; Magnoliopsida; Cucurbitales; Cucurbitaceae. The record is from RNAcentral.